ACCCCCCAGGUUCUACCGACAUGCUCAGGGACUGCACAGGUCUGGGCCAGAAACCACCGAGUCCUUUCCAGAGGUUGGCAGACCAUGAUUUCCGGAUCUGUGCUGGGAAUGGGAUGGACAUGUGCACAGAGAGCUGGUAAUUCUUCCUUCGGCAUCAGAUGAAGCCCAUGACCUCAUAAAGCCUUCUGAGACACGGAGGAGCCCCUGCUUGGGAAACGUCUUCAGUUACAGACCAUGACCUCAGACAAAUGUGCCUCAAGUCGCACAGCAAAUCAGUGUCCCACUUCCUGAAGAAACAUAAGACACAGACCCAACCCACGGAAACCGUUGGGGAGAGAAAAGAGUCAAAGCAGAAACAGUCAAAGGACAGAGCAAGCCAGUGUGGCAAAAGUCUCCAGCCUGAGUAAAUGUAACUGGACAAAUUGAUUGUACAACCUGGGUCAAGCCUGGAGUGUUCUAUCAGAGAACCCAUCUCGUUGCGUCUGAUAUGACAAACCCACCGGUGAAAGUGCCUCGUGUCACUGACACUUUAGGGCAUUGUCUGACAAGCUUCUUCAAGGUCAUCUGACUCUCUGGAUAGGGAAUUAUAGCUUUGUUCCUUUCGCUAUUUUCUAUUGAUUAGGACCCAGAAACCUUACAACUCUGUAAACUUAGAUGUUUAUAAAAAAUACCUGCUGAGAUGUGGAAGAUUUUUAUCUGGUAAAAGAUAAUUCUACAAGUUAUGACUGUUUUAUUUUUUAUUUUUUUGCCCUGUAGGAUAUUAAGCCAUUAAAAAAGUAUAAUUUAGAAAUCACAAUCCAGUAUUUUAUCUAUCUCUGUCUAUUAUCUAUCCCUCUAUAUAUCUAUCACCUGUCUAUUCCACUCACAUGAAUUUCUUGUAUCUCCCCUUACACUGGCUUUAUCAUUCUACUGAUUCUCUCAUUAAUGACUGAAGUGAAAUUUUGACA
Long non-coding RNA from Panthera uncia (snow leopard), 947 nucleotides. RefSeq lists it as uncharacterized. The transcript is spliced from 3 exons. The record is from RefSeq and is a predicted model, not a curated record. Lineage: Eukaryota; Metazoa; Chordata; Mammalia; Carnivora; Felidae.